This is an RNA transcript of Lipotes vexillifer (Yangtze River dolphin), 395 nucleotides long. It is a transcript of the gene named peptidyl-prolyl cis-trans isomerase FKBP1A pseudogene, with no coding region annotated. The record is from RefSeq and is a predicted model, not a curated record. The transcript has a single exon. NCBI's taxonomy places the organism in Eukaryota, Metazoa, Chordata, Mammalia, Artiodactyla, Lipotidae.
CCACCUGUUGCGCCGCCUGCCCACCCGGCGUCCACUGCCACUGCCACUGCCAUGGGAGUGCAGGCGGAGACCAUCUCCCCCGGAGAGGGGCGCACCUUCCCAAAGCGCGGCCAGACCUGCGUGGUGCGCUACACGGGGAUGCCUAAAGAUGGAAAGAAGCUGGAUUCCUCCUGGGACAGAAACAAGCCCUUUAAGUUUGUUCUGGGCAAGCAGGAAGUGAUCCGAGGCUGGGAAGAAGGGGCUGCCCAGAUGAGCGUGGGUCAGAGAGCCAAGCUAUCUCCCCAGACUAUGCCUACGGUGCCACUGGGCACCCAGGCAUCAUCCCACCUAAUGCCACUCUCAUCUUUGACGUGGAGCUUCUAAAACUGGAAUGUCAGGAAUGGACUCCUCCCUGA